UUGCUGUGUCAUUUCCGGAAGGAUUAUGGGACGUUGGAGGUCAAGAUUCUCUAAAUGGGGAUUUCUAAGAAGCGAUGAAAUGAGAAAAUGAAAAUGAAGCAGGUGAUGCUGGACUGUGUGAGACGGGAGAGAGGAAACUGAGCAGGAACCAUUGCUUUCUUCUUGCUGAUGCAGACAGAAUGUGACUGGUUACUUCAAACUCUGGCUAUUCUGACCUCCCAGCCAUGAUGGACUGUAGCCUGGCACGUCAUGACGGAUCGUAACCAGAACCUAAAACCUCAAGGGAACAAGAGAGGGACUGACAGUUGCUGAUUGCCUUCCGUGGGACACUCAUUCCGUCACCAGAAAAACUCUUCCGGAGGCUUUAUUUUCCCCAGUAUCACCAGAGUAAUAUUAAAGAAGACACUGCAAAACUGGUAAGGAUGGAUGCUAUAUAUAAAAAGAAACAAGUGCUGGCAAGGAUGUGGAGAAAUUGCAACCCUUGCACGUUGCUGGUGGGCUGCAGAGUGGUGUCGCAGCUGUGGGAUACGGUAUGGUGCCUCCUCCCAAAGCUGAGUGGGGAAUUACCAUAUGAUCUCUGCAUGCAUAUUUAUACUUACUUCAUAUCUAUAUUUAUCUCUCAAAGAAUUUCAAGCCAGGACUCAGCUAAUCAUGUGUCCCUGUGAAAGCUCCAUACUGCCAUUACUUUCUGGGGUUGAAAAGAACCAAGAAGAAAUUCAUUCAUGGGUAAAAUGGCUAAACAAAGUGUCCCAUUCAAUGUAUAGAUUAUUACUCAGCUUCAAAAGGGAAAGUUUUUCUUUCUUUUCUUUUGGGACAGAGUCUCUCCAGAUAGCCCUGGCUAUCCUGGAACUCAUUUUGUAGACCAGGCUGGCUUCAAACUCACAGAGAUCCUUCUGCUUCUGUCUCCCAAGCUCUGGGAGCAAAGGAGUGAGUGCCAACACAUCCGGGUUAUUAUUAUACUUCCUACAACAUGCAUGGGCCUUGAAAACAUUUCAAGUAAGGGAGCCAGAGAGAAAAACAAACACAUGAUUCCAUUUGUAUGGGACGUAUAGAACCAGCAAAUUCAGAGAUAGACACCAGCAGAGAGGCUGCCUGGGUUGAGGGAGGCAGGAAUGGAUACUUACAAGGGUACUGAGUUUCUGUUUGAAUGUGAACAACUUCCGGAAAUCCAUGGUAGUGAUGGCUGUAUAAUACAGCGAGUGUACUCAAUGCUACACCACUAUGUGCUUACCUAGGGGCAAACACACAAACACAGCGUGGUGCUCUGACUCCUGUCAGAUACGCUGAUGUAUUGGUCUGGACUGGGGCCUGGACCUCAGUGACACAUAGUCAAUCAGUGACUUGGGUCUCAGUGUCACCCUGUGACAGCCAGGCAGCUCCUUUGGUCUGCUUGUCUCAGGGCCCUUCUCGGAUCUUCUUCUUUUUACUACUCAGUGGUCCCAUGCAUCUAAGGCAGACUGCCUGCUACACGUGUACAUUUACUACUGGGUUGUAUCUUUAGUCUCACACAUGCGUUCAGAAAAUGACAUCAAGUGUUUUUGUGAUGCUUUGAAUAAAAAUGACACCUGUAGGCUCAUACAUUUGAAUGCUUGAUCACUAAGGAGUGGCACGAUUUGAAAGGAUUAGGAGGUGUGGCCUCCUUGGAGUGGGUGUGGCUUUGUUGGAUGAACUGUCUUACUGGGGGUUGGGCUUUCAGGUUUUAGAAGCCCAAGCCAGGCCCAGAGUUUUUCUUCUUUUCCUGCCUGCGGACUCAGGUGUAGAAUUCUCAGCUACCAUGUCUGUUUGUAUGCCACCCUGUCAUGAUGGCAACGGAUGAACCUCUGAAAUUGUAAGCAAGCGCCAAUUAAAAACUUUCUUUUAUAAGAGUUUUCCAUGGUUAUGGUAUCUCUUUACAGGAAUAGAACACUGACUAAGACAGUCUCCCUUAAUUUCUUUCCACCUGGUUUUCUGUUUUGUAGUUUCAGACAGGGUCUCCCACUGAAACUGGGAAUCGUGGAUUGGCUGAACUGGCUAGGCGGCAAGCUCCCGGAAUUUGCCUGACUCUGUCCUUUUCAUCCAAACAUGGUGGCUAUAGGCACAUGCCACCAUGCCCAACUCUCUCUCUCUCUUUUUUCCCCCCUUCUUUUUUUCAGAGCUGUAGACGGAACCCAGGGCCUUGCGCUUGCUAGGCAAGCGCUCUACCACUGAGCUUAACC
This is a long non-coding RNA of Rattus norvegicus (Norway rat), 2195 nucleotides long. RefSeq lists it as uncharacterized. NCBI's taxonomy places the organism in Eukaryota, Metazoa, Chordata, Mammalia, Rodentia, Muridae. The record is from RefSeq and is a predicted model, not a curated record.